GGAUGAUUCAUGUUCUUAGAAGCACGUAUGAAUUGUCUCUGGUGGAACCCCAUUGAUUGUCAUUUGGGGACAGAUGGCCGCAUCAUAUCUAAGCUCACCAGGGCAUUCCCGUCUCCUCUGCGCUGGCAGUCUGAAGUUUUACUGGCUUCCUCAUUGCCUCGGAAGGCCUUAGCCAGCUUCAUGUGAGUACACUUUAACUUUGGAAUGGAGAUGUCUACAAAGCCACUUGCCACAUGGCUGAGGACAAAAUGCUACCUGAUUCCAGGGAGCCUCAGGUGAUUUUACAGCUUGGUGCAGGGAGUUUCAGUGAGUCCCACAGCAAAUCCUGGAGUGGAGCUGAAUCCGAGCCAGAUUUUCCUGUGAGAGAACUGUUUU
This 375-nucleotide long non-coding RNA is filed under the name Cricetulus griseus (Chinese hamster). RNAcentral describes it as "lncRNA (ENSCGRG00000024799.1)". The record is from RNAcentral. Lineage: Eukaryota; Metazoa; Chordata; Mammalia; Rodentia; Cricetidae.